GACGGGAGGCAGGUGGCAGGUGCCUGUAGUUCCAGCGACUCUGGAGGCUAAGACAGGAGGAUCACUUGAGUCCAGGAGUUCUGGGCUGUAAUGUGCUAUGCCAAUCAGGUGUCCACACUAAGUUCAGCAUCAAUAUGGUGACCUCCCAGGAGCAGGGGACCACCAGGUUGCCUAAGGAGGGGUGAACUGGCCCAGGUCGGAAAUGGAACGGGUCAAAGCUCCCAUGUUGAUCGGCAGUGGGAUCGCGCCUGUGAAUAGCCACUGCACUCCAGCCUGGGCAACAUAGUAAGACCCCGUCUCUU
Molecule: non-coding RNA, 302 nt
Organism: Otolemur garnettii (small-eared galago)
Lineage: Eukaryota; Metazoa; Chordata; Mammalia; Primates; Galagidae
Source: Rfam